RNAcentral lists this non-coding RNA (118 nucleotides) under Desulfotomaculum sp. RNAcentral's name for it is "MoCo sequence". It matches the Rfam family "Molybdenum/Tungsten riboswitch aptamer (Moco RNA motif)". RNAcentral also lists the same sequence under 1 other name. The record is from RNAcentral. Lineage: Bacteria; Bacillati; Bacillota; Clostridia; Eubacteriales; Desulfotomaculaceae.
AAAAAUAUCGAUCUCCGAGCCCGGUUACCUAAAGCAGUCGCCACGGUGCCAGGGCCGACAGGGUGUAUGGGGAAACCGGUACGCCUCCCGUGCGGAAAGGAGAUGGUGUUACGAUGAC